RNAcentral lists this ribosomal RNA (94 nucleotides) under Bifidobacterium animalis subsp. animalis IM386. RNAcentral describes it as "partial 23S ribosomal RNA". Lineage: Bacteria; Bacillati; Actinomycetota; Actinomycetes; Bifidobacteriales; Bifidobacteriaceae. The record is from RNAcentral.
UGAGACCCCAUAGAGAACAUGUGGUUGAUAGACCGGACGUGGAAGCCCCGCGAGGGGUGGAGCCGACGGCACUAACGGUCGAAGACAACCAACA